ACCAGGGGCAACUCUGGUUCAGUGGCGGACGGGUGCGUAACACGUGAGGAACAUGACCUUCGGCGGGGGAUAGCCGGCCCAACGGCCGGGUAAUACCGCGUACGACCACAUGGGGACAUCCUUGAGUGGUGAAAGCAGCAAUGCGCCGAUGGAGUGCCUCGCGGCCUAUCAGCUAGUUGGUGAGGUAACGGCUCACCAAGGCGACGACGGGUAGCUGGUCUGAGAGGGUGACCGGCCACACUGGGACUGAGACACGGCCCAGACUCCUACGGGAGGCAGCAGUGGGGAAUAUUGCACAAUGGGCGCAAGCCUGAUGCAGCGACGCCGCGUGAGGGAUGACGGCCUUCGGG
Molecule: ribosomal RNA, 350 nt
Filed under: uncultured bacterium
Lineage: Bacteria
Description: bacterial SSU rRNA
Rfam family: Bacterial small subunit ribosomal RNA
Source: RNAcentral